GCUGGGCGUGGUGGCUCACGCCUGUAAUCCCAGCACUUUGGGAGGCUGAGGUGGGUGGAUCACCUGAGGUCAGGAGUUUGAGACCAGCCUGGCCAACAUGGUGAAACCCCAUCUCUA
This 117-nucleotide signal recognition particle RNA is filed under the name Pan paniscus (pygmy chimpanzee). Its description in RNAcentral is "Metazoan signal recognition particle RNA". It matches the Rfam family "Metazoan signal recognition particle RNA". From Rfam's summary of the family: The signal recognition particle (SRP) is a universally conserved ribonucleoprotein. The record is from Rfam by way of RNAcentral. Lineage: Eukaryota; Metazoa; Chordata; Mammalia; Primates; Hominidae. RNAcentral also lists the same sequence under 1 other name.